ACCAAAAAAAAAAUAAUAACCCAAAGGAAGUAUCAAUAACCUAUAUAAUAAUGCCGAAUUUUGACACAGUUUCCCCACAAUUAGUUACUAAUUCCUAAUAAGAAAAUAAUAUUAAAUAUGUCUAACAACCUUACAAUGGCCUCAAGCCCACAAAACUCCACUCAAAACCCAUUCAAGCCUAACAGGUUUACCUAAUUAUCUUCGUCAAAAUAUAUCAGCCUAAAUGUCUAAACUUCACUAUAGUCAAAAUUAUUCAACAAGCUUAGAAAAUUUAAUGAAUAUUCAUGGAGUCCUAAGCAUUGCUAUCCUGUUAUUUAAAUUCACUACAAGUUCG
This 334-nucleotide unclassified non-coding RNA is filed under the name Hevea brasiliensis (rubber tree). Lineage: Eukaryota; Viridiplantae; Streptophyta; Magnoliopsida; Malpighiales; Euphorbiaceae. The record is from RNAcentral.